This 14300-nucleotide long non-coding RNA is filed under the name Jatropha curcas. Its description in RNAcentral is "long non-coding RNA (JCUR_LNC000133)". Lineage: Eukaryota; Viridiplantae; Streptophyta; Magnoliopsida; Malpighiales; Euphorbiaceae. The record is from RNAcentral.
GUUUGCUAUUACUGUGGACGCGAGGAAAGAACUACUAAAAGAUCAACAUCUCAACGAUGAUAAAACUUCUAUUGAGGAAAAUGGGCCAAAAUCUAUUUUAAACCGUCUCAACGAUGAGAAGUUCGAUCCCAAACGUCCCGAGUUGUUUGGUUAUCAUUACGACGACGAUGAUAAAAAAGACAAGGCAUCAUCAUUUGAGAAGUUCGAUUCCAAACGUCCUGAGUUUUUUGGUUAUCAUUACGACGACAAUGAUAAAAAAGACAAGUCAACGUCAUUUGAGAAGUUCGAUCCCAAACGUCCUGAGUUCCUUCACUAUGGUUACAACGAUGAUGAUAAAAAAGACAAGUCAACGUCAUUUGAGAAGUUCGAUCCCAAACGUCCUGAGUUCCUUCACUAUGGUUACAACGAUGAUGAUAAAAAAGACAAGUCAACGUCAUUUGAGAAGUUCGAUCCUAAACGUCCUGAGUUCUUUCACUAUGGUUACAAUGAUGAUGAUAAAAAAGACAAGUCAACGUCAUUUGAGAAGUUCGAUCCUAAACGUCCUGAGUUCUUUCACUAUGGUUACAAUGAUGAUGAUAAAAAAGACAAGUCAACGUCAUUUGAGAAGUUCGAUCCUAAACGUCCUGAGUUCCUUCACUAUGGUUACAACGAUGAUGAUAAACAAGACAAGUCAACAUCAUUUGAGAAGUUCGAUCCUAAACGUCCUGAGUUCCUUCACUAUAGUUACAACGACGAUGAUAAAAAAGAUAAGUCAACGUCAUUUGAGAAGUUCGAUCCUAAACGUCCUGAGUUCCUUCACUAUGGUUACAACGAUGAUGAUAACACUGACAAAUUAUCAUCUGUUCAAAAUUUUGAGCGUUGGGUUCCUCUUCCAUCAUUUCAUUAUACUUACAGCGACGAUGAUAACACAGAGAAAUCAUCGUCAUUUGAGAAAUUUGAUCCCAAACAUAAGAACUUGCUUCACUAUCACUACAACGACAACAAAGAAAAAUCAUCACCGCUCGAGCAUAAUAAGCCGUCGUCUCUUAUUGAAGAGAUCCCAGGCGGCAACAAUGAUCAUAAGGAGACCAUGUAAAUUAGGCAUCCAGAGGAGCAUAUGGGUUUUAAUGAAAUUGUAUAAUGUUUUAUGUAUUUAAACGUUAUGUCCUCUAUGUAUGGGAGUGCUUACUUAUUAAAGAAAAAUAAAAAUGGCGUCGCCAUAUAUGAUAAUUGAAUAAAAGUAACACUUCAUUUCCUUCCUCUUUUCUCAAGCAAUUUAGUUUUCUUUAUCUAUUGUCUUUGUUCGUAGCUAAACACACAAGGUUGCCAAUUUAGUCGGAUUAUGAUAAAAUAUAUGUAUUAUUAUAUAUAUUUAACUUUAAAAAUAAUAAUUAACGAUAUGUGUAAAGGAGAACAUCAAAAUCCUAGCAACUUUCUCUCUCUUUUUUUUUUCCAUUGCAAUCGUUUUCUUCUUUCUCCAUCAAAAGCCAAGAAUCAAGCAUGUAGGUUUAUAUAUAUAUAUAUAUAAACCUGUAACUUACAUUAUUUUAAUGACAUUGUAGAUUUAUACAUUGAAUAGUAUUACUGAUUUAUUUAGUAGAAUCAAUAGUGUAAUUUUCCUUUGAAUUCUAGAAUAUAAAUAUAUUUUUCUUUUUCCUAGUAAGUGCAUUCUUGUGCUUAUAAUUUUUUUUAGCAUUAAAUAUUUUGUUUUUUAAAAGCCUAUAAAUCCUGAUCUCAAAACAGGUAAUUUUUCGUGUUAAUAUCAUAUUUUUUAAUGAAAAAUCCUUACCAUUUAUCAAAUCUCAUGUAAUUAUUGCCUUUUGGUUUGUGGUUGUGGUUUAUAUGUAAUUUCUUAAGUACUUUGGAUAUGUUCGGACAAAAUUUGUUGUUUUGAUAGCUAUUUAUUAUUUGAAUAAUAUUUAAUGGUCAGUUGUUUUAGUAGUUUUUCAUAAAAUGAUAAAAGUUAAACGUUACAUGAGUUAACUUUUUAAAUAUUAAAUUAUAUAACGAGAUUGAAUUAUUUGAAAGUACAUGAAAUAUACAUAAUAUAAAUGGUUCAAGUAAAACUUUAAUUACAAGUAAAUUAGAAUCUCAAAAUUUAUAAAUUAAAUAAUAAAAAUAAUUAUUUUAUAUAGAUAUAUAUUUCUUUUAAUUAAGAAACUUGAAAAAAUAUAUUAAGUACAAAUUAUAAAUUCAAAUUUAUAAAUUAGAGGUUAUAAAUUCAUGAUAUAUGAACCUUUAUAUUACAUAGUUGUAAACCAAACAAAUUUUAUUCAAAAGCUAUAUAAGUAUAGAAUAUGUUUAUUUUUGAACAAAGUAAAACAGAAUUUAUAAUGAAAAUAAGAUUGAUCAAAUUUAAAUUUAAAGAUUAAUUAGUUUUAAAAUAAUUAUUUUAUAUAUAUGGACCAGUGUAAUUUAAUAUUUUAAAAAUUAAAUAAAUAUUUUUAUGACCAAAUAUAUAAUGUGGAUUAUUUAAAAAAAUAAAUGAAUUUAAAAUAAUUAAGACUAGCUAAACUACAAAUUAGAAGUCACAAGAUACGAUAUAUAUAAUUUAAUAUAUAUAAUUCGAUAUUAUAAAAGGGGAGAAAUUUAUAAGUCUAGCAUUUAUAUAUAUAUAAUAUAAUUUCAAUUGCAUAGGUACAUAAUAAAUUUUUUAACACUAAGAUAAUAAAAUUUUAUAGUUAUUUAUUCAAAGUUUAAAUAAUUUAUUUUGAUUAAAUAUAUUUGAAAUAUUGGAUAAUUAUUUAUCUGUGAAUUUUUUUUAUGUUUGUGUUGAAAAUAGUUUUUUUUUUUAAUUUACACAAUUAAAUAGUUUUUUAUUUUUAAUAAUAUUAAAUAAAUAUUAAAUAAAAAAUAAAUAUUAAAUAAAUAUUAAAUUUUUAAUAAUAAAUAAUAGUUUUUUUGAUAACCAAUUCUAUAGAUAACAAAUCAUUUGCUAAAAGCUCCGCCGAUCAGACCAUCUCACAUCACCGACAACGCCUCUACAGGGGCUUCAUCCACACUAUCAUCAUCACUUAUAGUUAUCAUCCUUUGAAUCAAUAAUGUAAUUUUCCUUUGAGUUCUAGAAUAUAAAUAUAUUUUUCUUUUUCCCAGUAAGUGCAUUCUUGUGCUUAUAAUUUUUUUUAGCAUUAAAUAUUUAGUUUUUUAAAAGCCUAUAAAUCCUGAUAUCGAAAAAGGUAAUUUUUCGUGUUAAUAUCAUAUUUUUUUAAUGAAAAAUCCUUACCAUCGAUCAAAUCUCAUGUAAUUGUUGUCUUUUGGUUUGUGGUUGUGGUUUAUAUGUAAUUUUUUAAGUACUUUGGAUGUGUUCGUCAAGAUUAGUUGUUUUAGCAGCUGUUAACUGUUUGAAUGACAUUUAAUGUUUAGUUGUUUUAGUAGCUUUUCAUAAAAUAGUAAAAGUUAAACUUUAUAUGAGUUAACUUUUUAUAAAUUGCUGGCUUAAUCUCUAUAAGUUAGUUCAAAAGUUAUAUUACCGAACACUAUAAAAAAAUACGUUUAACAUUUUGACCAAUCAAAAUAUUAAAAGCUACUUAAAAAACUAUUACCGAACACGACCUUUGACUUGUAGUUUUUUUGCAAGUGGUUGCUAAGCCUCAACUUGUUGUUACUGAAUUAAGAAUUUAUGUCAAGAGUUUAUUAGAAAUAUGUAGGACUUAUGAAUAUAAUAUUCCUUUAAAUUUUCACUAUUUUGACUUUUUUUAACCUGUUUCAAAGUUACUAGUUAAAUGAUGAUUGUUUAAAUAAAAUUUUAUUUAAAUAUUAUGAUUAAUAAAAUAAUUAACUGUGCCAAUCAGAUAUAAUUUUAUUAAUUUUUUUCAUUUAUAUGAAGAGUGAGAGAUCUAGAGUUCGAGUCCUCUUGAUCACAAAGUUUUCACCAAUUUAGUGAAUUAAAGAGAACUUUAUUCAUAUUGUGUAGCGCAUGGUAUUAUUUAAGCCAUUUUGGCCUUCUACUGGAUAAAAAAAAUUCACUGUAAGCAGCAAAAACUGUAAAUAAUUGCUUAUACCCAUUUCGACUACUCAUCCAACUACCCAUUUACCAACUAUCAGAAUCACAUGGUUGGUAGCCUAUUAUUGAUAACCAAAUAACUAUAUAUCCAUCUGCCACUGUCAAUCAUCACAAAUAACUAAACCAGAAUGAUUUUUAAAUGAUUAUCCAUGGUGUGUCUCCCUAAAGACAAGAAAAGGAAAAGGAAAACAUUGGACCACACCUAUGUAAGGAUGAAGGAAGGGUGUGAGGAGUGUCUCAAGUUCCUUUAACCAUAAUUUUCUUUUAUAUUUAUCUUCUAAAAUAUUGAAGAUUUUUAAUUUUGCUCCUUAAAUUUCAAGUUUUUUGCCGUACCGGCCCCAUUAUUACACGUGUAAAAUCUAAUUAUACUUUAUAUUUAGAUAAACUAUAGUUUUGGCCUUAAACUUUUCGAGUUGUUCCAAUUUCACUCUAAAUUAACUUUUAUUUUGCUGAAUUUUGCAUAUGUUAUUUAAUUGUAUCCAUAGUUUUAAAAUUGGACUUAAUUGAAAGAGACUAAAGAAAAAAUAUGAGAUCCACAUAUUUUCUGUGGGUUAAGGUAAUCCAAUAUUGUUUAACUAGCGAAAAAUGCAUUACUCUGUAUAAGGAUAAGACUUGCUCACACUCAAUAUGUAUGGGUGGUUCUAUAGACGAAACCAAUAAAAAAGAUUGUUUUUAAAAACUCUUACGCUCUAUCCUUUUUGUUUGUAUGAUAAAAAAUGCUUUCAUUUGAAACAAAUCACUUUUUGUGAUUAGUUUGUAAAUGAGUGAGUUCAUUCACUGACAUUGAGUGCAGGUAAGUCUUUCCUUUGUAUAAAGGGAAGAAAAAAAAGACAAAACAAACUUCAAAAUCAUUUAGAUUAUGUGGUAUGCUUCUAUAUUAAAGUGAAUUAUUAUUCAAAUAUGUGAAAAGUGAGAAGUCUGGAGUUCUAAUCCACUCGAUCAUAAAAACUUUCACUAACUUGGAGAAUUAAGGAAAGAAUUACUCUUAUUGUGUAGCCUAUUAAAUUAUUUUUGGCUCGUCUAAUUACUUCAUUAUGGUUACAAUUUGAAAACUUCGGAGGCAAGACCAAAUCCAUCUAAGUGGCCCUAAUUUCUUUCUUUCCUAUUCAAUUAUAAGAAUGUCUUUCAACUUUUAUAUUCACCCUACAAUAUCUUCUUCCCGCACGAGGAUAAAGAACAAAAGGAUAGUGUGAAAUACGUUGAAUUUUUAGAAUCUAAUGGGGUCUUCCCUAAAAAAAUGAUUUUAGAUUCCAUGGCACGCUGAGUGAAUUAUUAUUGGAAACACGAAGUUGUCAAGAUUCCGUGGCUUUGUUUUGCUGUUUUUGUUUUUUCUAAAUAAAUUAGAAUAUUAAUUUAUUUUUACAUGAAAUAAUAAAAACAAAAUGAUUGAAUAUAAAUUAACAAAUAGAGUAAAAGCCUUAACACCUAUAAAAUAAUAAUUGAGGAAAAUUAAUAAAAUUUAGUAAAAAACCGAUCAUAAUUGAAAUUUUGAUAUUUUAGUUGUGUUAGGCAACAGUUUUUUUGAGUAGCUUUUAACAUUUCGACUGGUUAUAACACUAAAUACUAUUUUGUAUAAUCUGAUUUCUGUAAUGACAUUAGCGCCAUUAAUAAACUAAUUGUUUCUUUUGUUACCUAUGGAUUUUAAUAUUGGAACUUUAUAGUAUGUUGCUACUUUACGAGAACAAUUGGAACAACUGGCUGAAGAGAGAACUCUAGAUGGCUUACCUAGGUAUGCGUGCUUUCUUUUAUAUCUUCUCUUAAAUUUGUUUUGAAUUGUAAUUGAACUUUGAAAAACUUUAAUCAAAUUUUCAUGGAUAACCAAUAUUGGAACUUUUUGUAAAUGUCCUUUUCAAGGAAAAUUGACUUGUUAAUAAUACAUCUAAGUUCUUUGAUUGUGAGCCAGAUUUCUCUUCCCCUUUGCAUUUGAGUUGGCCUUUUCUGUUCGGUAGCCAUUAUCAAUCCAAUAAAUCAAAUGUGGCUGGAGUUGUAUUUUAUGUAACAAUCUCUAAGAUUUAAAUGCAGUGCUACUUUUAACUUCUCUUUGAAUACAUUUCAACAGAGUUUCAAAGGCUAAGGUCAAUGAUUAUUCAGAAAAGAUUGAAGCCAUUGCUUCCAGAUUAGCUGCCCCAUUGGUGCGUUGCAUUGGAUACUUUUAAAUUAUUAAUGUGAUUGUGAACUUUAGCAACACUUCUAAAAUUAGUUGCACUAGCAGAUAUUUGAACAUAGUUCGAAGAGUAAGUUUUCUUCUUUUCAUUUCCUCCCUCAAGGGACUAAAAACUGUUGAAAUGCCAUUGCCAUUAUAAUGUGGUAGAGCUUCAAUAACUGUGAUGUAAACAGACUGAAGAUACGGGGUUAUGUUUCUGUAGAAGAAAACAUAAGAGCAAAUCUUGACCGAUUUCACUUUUGUUGAAAAGACUGUACAUAGGAUUUUGAUAUUACUGUCCACAAAUUAAUUCUUUUUUUUUUUAAUUAUCUCUUGAAUGAACUGUUCUUCUUCCCUCUCAGCUAAUAUGUUGACUUCAUGGAUUGCAAUACAUUCUCCUUGGUUUAAUUGCUUUUGUUGCCUGUUCUACUUCUUCUAACUGUUCCCCCCUUUGGUUACAGUGACUAAGCGUACUGAUUACAACUUAAAAGCAUACUAUAUGUUGUUUGUGUCAUCUAACCAUGCAUGCAAUCUAUGAUGUUGCCUCAAUUUGUUUGUCCUAUUAAUUGUCAGUAUUGGCAGUGGUUGAUGUUGUAACAUCUAACCAUUUUUUAUGCGGCUAAUUCUCAGCCUCAGAUUCGGUAUCUGAAGAGCCUUUUGCUGAGAGUUCAAUGAGCGAAAGUCCUAAAGCAGAUGGAGAAACUCAGUUCCCUUCUUCUCCUGGCUUGAGAAGAAGACUUGUGUAAUGAAUCUCUAGUUGUUAGGAUUUAUGUGAUUCAUGCAAUUUCCCUUUUGGUGUUCAUUUCUUUUUCCUCCUUCUGUUUCUAUAUUUAUUUCAUUAUGAUUUUUGUUGUUCUUUGAACAGGGCAGCCCCAAAUUUUGAUGAUAGAACUCAUGAAAUCACUCAGGUUGAUACAUCAGCCCCUGUCAAACUGGAUGCUGCAGCAAAAACACACAUUGAAAAGCACAGGUACUUUUACUGUUUGAUUGGGGUACACCCAAUCAUGAUGUGAUAAUUUCAAAGAUUACAUAGUAAUCCACUCUUAGAUCUGUAAUCUAAGUUUUUCAAGUAAAAAUGUUGCAUUUAAUUCUACAUAAAACCCAGUGGAGUUCCACAUAAACUCAUACAGCCAUUGUUUGCUAAAGAUGCAUUGACUACAGACCAAGGAUGGUCCUCUUGAGGGCAUUGGGUGAUUAUUCAUGAUUCUAUUUGUAGAGGUGUGCAUCAGUGGAUUCGGUUUGACCGAAUUAACCAGUAAUCAAAAUAGGGGAAACUAAACCAAAUUGAAUUACAUAUAUGAAUCAAACAUUUUGGUUCAGUUUGGUUGGCUCCAUACUGAAUCCUUUUGUUCUUGUGUGUGUGUGUGUGUGUGUGUGUGUUGUUUGGUUUUUUUGGUUAAAAUGAUCAUCUGAAGACCGAAACAUGGUUAACAUGUUCAUCUGAUGACUGAAACAUGGUUAACAUGGUUGGCUCCAUACCAUGGUCAUCUGAUGACCGAACCAAAUAAGAGGCCCAAAUCUUUGCUAAUCGAAUCAAACCACAUAUUUCGGUUUGGUUAGUUGGUUAUUACCAACUAAUGCACACCCUUACUCCCCUAGCUAUUUUGGCAUUUCAAUGGGAUAAUGUGUACACCAUAAGCAAGAUAGUAGUGGAAUUUUGGUGUAACAUGGUGCCCUGCUUGGCAUCAGCCUAGUAUUGUUCAGAGAGCGGGACAGAACAAGUAUUUGAGCAAGAGGGGAACUGGGAUUGGAGUGGAAGGUAAGUCAGACACCAAAUUGAUCUUUAAUAUUUAUUAUGUUUCUUUCCCUACCGAGACGAAAGCCAAAGGUGAGUCUCGUAGGUGGACGUAUUGAACCGAAAAAAGAUCUCACUCCCCUGUCUCAACUCGCUUUCCAGGGAUAAGGUGAAAAUGAAAGGUUCAUUGCAAAUUGGAGUUUAUUGCAACAGGAUUUACAUAAAUAACAAUGCUUCAAUACAUUUAAAGUUUCUUAGUCCUCCUUCUUGACUGUUGCUUAUAGUACUAUAUUUAUAACGGUACAAUGUAGUUUCCUGAAAGUAAUAUGAUUAAUGAGUAAAAUUUUCAUGAUAUAGGCAGAGAUAUUCAAAAACAUAAUUUGUUCUGCAUAUUUUCUUGCUCCAAGUUCCAAAGAUUGAAUCUAGGACUACCUAGUUGCUUCAAAGAUCAUCAACUUCUGAUUAAACUUUUGUAUCCUAUUGCAGAAAGCUUCAAGAAGACCUGACAGAUGAAAUGGUUGGGUUGGCACAACAACUAAAAGAGAGUAGUCUCUUGAUGAGCCAGUCCUUGCAAAAUACUGAAAAGGUAAUGAUUUUUGGAACCAAAUGUAUUACCUUCUGAGGAGAUGUGCAAUUGUAGCUUUGGUGAGUGAUUCUGCAUGUUCUGGGGAGGCAGCAUUAGAGGAUCGCGUAAUCCAUUAUUCUUUGUGUACAAGUUAGCUAAUGAGUAUCUCUAACAUGGUAAUGAUUUAGAAACUACUAGGAUUGUGAAGAAGUGUCAUUUUCCUUCUGCCAUUAAUUGAUUGAUGUGAAGCGUCUGAGUUCUAUCUUAAAAUUGCUCAGAUUUGUAAAUGCUGUGAAGGAGAGGUUGGGAGUGGCAAUCAGAGAGAUAUCUAUAGCAGCAUUUUUCUGAAUUUAAUCUGUGGGAAUUGAUGUUCUAUUGAGGUCUUGUAUUUUGACAUACUAAUCACUCUAUUAAGCGAUGAAAGUUGCUAGGAUAUGAAAUUCUUCUUGAUUAAUGAUGAAUUGAAGAACAACUACUGAACCAUUUCUGUACUCAUGCAGUAAUCGAUAAGCUGCUAAUUGUGUUAAUUGACUUGGAAUGGGCCCUUAAGGAAUUAACAAGUACAGAUCUAUAAAAUUGUAAAAGCCAUAAGAGGACAGGCUUUUAUAAGAAAAAUCUACCCUGUAAUUUUUUUUUCCCUACCAAUGAUUGGAUGGUGGACUCACCGACAAAUGAGGUAAGGGAAAUUGAGAAGCAACUUUCUACUUCAACCUUUUUUCUUCUUGAUAUGGUAAACAACUUGCCUUGAGCUCAUAAUUUGUUUGUAUUUUUCAAUUUUCUUUGAAAUAAUGGCAGUAGCAACUAAAACUUCUAGUUGAUGAGUGUAUGCAUCAUGAAUUUCUACAUUACCACUUAUCAUGUGGAAAUUCAGAUUUCUGUUCAUUUACGUAUUAUAGAUACUUGAAUUUAAUACUUAUCAAAAUGUGAUUGCAAAGAUCAUGUAUAUCGAUCUGGGACUAUUUUUUAAACUGAUGCUCUUCUUGUACAUGUCAGAAAGUUUUUGCAUUCAAUGGCUGUAAAAAAAGAAAUACAUAAAUUUAUUAGAUGAAGCUAAAACAACAUAUAUGCAAGUUUUUAUUUCUAGUCUCAAAACCUAAAUGUUUGUUUUGGUGCAGAUACUCGAUUCUACAGAGAACGCUAUUGAGCAAAGCUUGGCAGGCACUGGCCGUGCCAAUGUCCGAGCCUUGGAGAUAUACUCGAAAAGUUCUAAAACUACAUGCUUCACUUGGCUUCUGAUUUUUCUAAUGACAUGUGUCUUCAUCAUGGUUGUACUCCUAAUUCGCGUCACUUAGAAGUUUCUUCAAGGUAAGCAAGUUUCGACAUGGUAAUGCUGCUGUCUUGCAAUGCGAGUCAAGUGUUUAACCAUUUGUUCAAAAUCAACUGGUUUUUUAUGAAAGUGGUGCCUAAUGAUUUAAUUUUUCUACCAGAAAUCAUUUUGUGACGAUACGGAGAUUAAUGACAAAUAAUAUGUAAUAUUUUCUUAUUCUGUGUUGUUUGAGGUUAUGUUGGGAUUUAUAUUUUAAUCGACGGACAACUGAUUCUGAAAUAAGUUUAACACUCAUAUUAUGAUUGUAUUUUUUUUUCUUUUUUCUUUUUUAAUAUAAUGUCUUUUAUUUUAUUUUGAAUUAAAAUAAAUAACUAGAAAACAUUACUAAACAAAAAUUAAUUAAUUAUUUUUAUUUAUAUACCAUAUUAAAAAAAAUGAUAGAUUCAUCUGAGAAAAUAAAAAGAAUAAUUUAGCUACCAACAACAAGAAUUUACUCUAGGGUGCUUGUUUUUUAAGAGAGGACCCAUAAGGAUAUUAAAGUGUAAAUAAUUAAAAUAUCAAUAAAAGUGGCAAAGUAUUUACUCUAGGGUCCUUGUUUUUUAAGGUAAUCAGUGGUAUUAUUAUUCUUGAAAAAAAAUAAAAAAAUAAAAACCUGGUAUUAUUAAAUGUAUAUUAUUGAAAAGAAAAAUAAAAACUUUUAUCAAUAAUGAGAAAAUUAUCUACCAAUGUAUGAGGAGUGGCACUCACCAACCCCAAUUCCUACCUACUCAUCCAUAGAAUUGGUAUUAUUGUUACUCUUAUCAUGCCCAAUCAUCCAUGCAAAAUUAUUACUUUUACACAUGCAUAAAUGCAAGAUUUUAUAAUUUAAAAAAAUGUUGAUCACUCAAUAUUUUUUUAUUAAUCAAAAGGCUCAAUUGAUCGAAUAACAUAAUGAUUAAGGGAUAAUUUUUCCAUUGACUUAUCGAAUUAUUAAAAACUAGUGCGAUCGGAAAAAUUCAAACUUAACAAUCAUAUUUUUUAUAUUAGUAAAAAGAUCAACCAAAUAAUAUAUGGUUAGCCUAAAGAGGUUUUUUUUUUUUUUUUUUUUUUUGCCCCUUUUAAAGAUAUUGGGCAGAAAAUAAUAAUCAGCGGAGAUUAUAGCAUUAUUUCAUGUAAUUAAUUAAUAUAGUAUAUAAAUAAAUAAAUAAAUAUUAAUUAAAUGUUUAUAAUAAUAUUUACUAGUUAUUUAUUGUUUUUAGAUAAUUAUAUAUGAUAAUGAUAACAUAAAAAUAGUAAUUGGAAAAUAAAAUUAUUAAUGAUUUAUUAUUGAGGUGAAUAUAGCCCUGGGGAAUUGAUUAAAAAAAAAAAGGAGUUGAAAAAGUAGUUAAUGAAGAUUUAACACAUAUAAAUUAAACGUAGAAUAAAUUUGCAUGAAACAAAUAAGCUAAAUAUCCCUCUAAUAAGGAAUUGAUAGCUGAUAAAGCUUACAUAAGUUUCAAUUUACUAUUGAUCUCAUCAACUGAAUUUAGGGCUUUUUCUUAUCAAUGUAUUAUAUUUUGACUAUAUUAAUUUUAUAAAAAAAUAUAUUAAUAAAUUAUUUUUUGAAAUUAAUAUUUUAGGAUAAUCUUAUUUAUAAAAAUUUUAAAUUAAAAUAAAUAAGUAGAAAAUAUUACUACACAAAAAUUAAAUAAUUAUUUUUAUUUAUAAACUAUCAUAAACAACUAUCAUAAACAAUUAAAUAAUUAAAUAAUGAUUACUAUUAUCAACUAUCAUAAACAACUAAAUCAACCAUUUUAUUUUUCAAAUAAUCGAUUUUUAAAUAAAAACAUGAAUAUGUAUAGUUGUGAGAUCUAUUUAGAUUCAAAUGAGUUUAAAAUUUAAAAAAAAAAAUUCAAAUGAUGAAUUAGCCUAAAUUAAAAUUUUUUUAAUGCAUUUAGAGCAAUAAAAAAUUAUAGAGUAUAUAUAUAUAUAUAUAUAUAUAUAUAUAUAUAUACAUGCGCACGCGCAUAAUUUUGAAAAGAGGCAUGACCAAAUCCAUCUAGGUGGCCUUAAUAUUUUUUUUCUAUUCAAUUAUAAGAAUAUCUCUCAAUUUUUAUAUUUAUCCUACACAUAUCUUAUCCUACACGAAAAAAAAAACGAGGAUAAUGUAAGAUAUGAAUUAUAAGAAUGUCACUCAACUUUUAUAUUGACCCAACACAUAUCUUGGUUCAUGUGGAGGGAAAAAAAAGAUAAUAUAAGAUAAGUAAAGAAUUAUUAGAAUCUAAUAGGGUCUUUUCUGAUAUUAAAAUAAAUAAAAAAACUUUGUGGGACGCUCCUAUAUUAAAGUGAAUUAUUAUUGGAAAUUCAAGAGAAAUUUAAUUAUUUGCACUGAUGGCUUUGAUUUUUUUUUUUUUCUUAACAAAAUUAACAAUUCUAUUCCAUGUAAUUCAACAAUACAUAUGAAAAAUACUUGUAAUGUUAAUAAUUGUACAUUAAAAUCAGUUGCACAUUGUUAAGCUUUAACUCAUAUUAUAAUUAUUGAAAUUAUUGAGAGAGAGAAAAUAGGAAAAAAAAGAUUGAUUAAUUUAUAUUAUAAAAUAAAAAUACUAUGAACUUUGCAUAUGGUUGGAAUUGCAUUUUAUUUUAAAUUUUAACUAUAAGGUGCAAUUAAUUAUUUUAGAGUAUAAUAACAUUUUGAAUUUUACGUAUUGUUGCAAUUACACCUUAUUUUUUCCCUAAAUUUUAAUUACAAAGCGUCAGUAAUUUCAAAAUGCUGUUACAUGAUAAUUGUUAAAAGGGUUAAAUAUUUUCGGUUCCCUAAAUUAUGGCCAAAAUAACACCUAGGAUCCUCAACGUUUGAGUAAUUAUCUUGAAUGACCUAAAUAAUGUUGUCGUUAUACUACGAGGCCCUGCCAUCCAAAUUCUUACCUUUUUCCAUUUACAUGGAUUGAAAAGCAAACAUUAAGUGGGGAGUUAAAUGUUUUGGGGUCCCUAAAUUAUGACCAAAUCAACACUUAAGUCCCUCUACGUUCGAGUAAUUAUUCGUUUUUCAGUUCAUAUAAACGCAAAAAAAGUAGAAAUUUAGAUGGAAAUUCCAUUCGACGUGCCUAUCUAAGAUUUUUCCUCUUUGUGCUUUUUCUCAUAUUUGCGGAUGCGCUUUACACCCUUUGUAGCUAAGAAUUUUUCGUAUUUUGUAAUAAACAAGAAAUAACAAAAAAAAAAAAAAAAAAUGAGUUGAGAAAUUUUCUUUUUACAAAAAUGCCCUUAUAUUGCUAAAGGUUUCUUUGACAUUGUGUGGCUAUAUAUAGCAGGCACUUCACCAUUAAAAAACCAAACAUUUCUUCUCCCCUUUACAACUAAAGAGAACCAUGAAGAGCUUCUCUAUUUUCUUUGUUCUUCUCCCUCUUCUCUUGGUGAGUGAACCAUUUCUUCAUACAUUAUUCUACUUAGCACCAACCCUAAAAUUCGAUUGAAAUUAAUGGCAAAGCUAUAUGUUGCAGUCUUUUUUUUUUUUUUUUUUUUUUAUUAAAGAAAUUAAUGCAGAUAUUAUUUUUUAUUAAUUAAAUGGCUAGCUUUGUUCCUAAUAUUAUUUAUACUUUCAGCGGAACUACAUAUAAUUUUUAGUGUGACAUUUUUUUCUCUCUAAUUUUUUCGUCUUAUUUCAAGAACAUGCUUUUUUUGAUUCUUUUAGUAGUUUGGCAAUAUAUAUGGACUCAAGCUCUAAUCUUUGUUCUUUUUUUCUUUAAUAGUUUGGUAUUACUGUGGACGCGAGGAAAGAACUACUAAAAGAUCAACAUCUCAACGAUGAUAAAACUUCUAUCGAGGAAAAUGGGCCAAAAUCUAUUUUAAACCAUCUCAACGAUGAGAAGUUCGAUCCCAAACGUCCCGAGUUGUUUGGUUAUCAUUACGACGACGAUGAUAAAAAAGACAAGGCAUCAUCAUUUGAGAAGUUCGAUUCCAAACGUCCUGAGUUUUUUGGUUAUCAUUACGACGACAAUGAUAAAAAAGACAAGUCAACGUCAUUUGAGAAGUUCGAUCCUAAACGUCCUGAGUUCCUUCACUAUGGUUACAACGAUGAUGAUAACACUGACAAAUUAUCAUCUGUUCAAAAUUUUGAGCGUUGGGUUCCUCUUCCAUCAUUUCAUUAUACUUACAGCGACGAUGAUAACACAGAGAAAUCAUCGUCAUUUGAGAAAUUUGAUCCCAAACAUAAGAACUUGCUUCACUAUCACUACAACGACAACAAAGAAAAAUCAUCACCGCUCGAGCAUAAUAAGCCGUCGUCUCUCUCUGAUGAGAUCUCAGGUGGCAACAAUGAUCAUAAGGAGACCAUGUAAAUUAGGCCUCCAGAGGAGCAUAUGGGUUUUAAUGAAAUUGUAUAAUGUUCUAUGUAUUUAAACGUUAUGUCCUCUAUGUAUGGGAGUGCUUACUUAUUAAAGAAAAAUAAAAAUGGCGUCGCCAUAUAUGAUAAUUGAAUAAAAGUAACACUUCAUUUCCUUCCUCUUUUCUCAAGCAAUUUAGUUUUCUUUAUCUAUUGUCUUUGUUCGUAGCUAAACACACAAGGUUGCCAAUUUAGUCGGAUUAUGAUAAAAUAUAUGUAUUAUUAUUUGAUGAGAAAUUUUUACUUAAUAUUUAAUAUUUAAUUUUAUA